Non-coding RNA from Acanthosepion pharaonis, 98 nucleotides. The record is from the annotation of a GenBank genome assembly. Lineage: Eukaryota; Metazoa; Mollusca; Cephalopoda; Sepiida; Sepiidae.
UUGAAACAACGAUUCCCGUACUAUCGCCGAAGUUGAGCAACGUUGCGCCUGGUCAGUACUUAUAUGGAUGGCCGUUUGGGAAUACCAGGUGCUGCAAG